Molecule: ribosomal RNA, 243 nt
Filed under: uncultured bacterium
Lineage: Bacteria
Description: partial 16S ribosomal RNA
Rfam family: Bacterial small subunit ribosomal RNA
Source: RNAcentral
CACCGGCGAACGGGUGCGUAACACGUAAGCGACCUACCGCGGAGCGGGGGAUAGCCGGCCCAACGGCCGGGUAAUACCGCAUACGCUCUUGAGGGUACCUGCCCUUGGGAGGAAGCCUUUCGAGGGCUCUGCGCGGGGCUUGCGGCCUAUCAGCUAGUUGGCGGGGUAACGGCCCACCAAGGCGACGACGGGUAGCUGGUCUGAGAGGAUGGCCAGCCACAUUGGGACUGAGAGACGGCCCAG